This 1172-nucleotide ribosomal RNA is filed under the name Campylobacter coli. RNAcentral describes it as "partial 23S ribosomal RNA". It matches the Rfam family "Bacterial large subunit ribosomal RNA", at positions 1 to 1188 of the family's 2925-position model. Lineage: Bacteria; Pseudomonadati; Campylobacterota; Epsilonproteobacteria; Campylobacterales; Campylobacteraceae. The record is from RNAcentral. RNAcentral also lists the same sequence under 1 other name.
AAAAAAGGUAAGCUACUAAGAGCGAAUGGUGGAUGCCUUGACUGGUAAAGGCGAUGAAGGACGUACUAGACUGCGAUAAGCUACGGGGAGCUGUCAAGAAGCUUUGAUCCGUAGAUUUCCGAAUGGGGCAACCCAAUGUAUAGAGAUAUGCAUUACCUAUAUAGGAGCGAACGAGGGGAAUUGAAACAUCUUAGUACCCUCAGGAAAAGAAAUCAAUAGAGAUUGCGUCAGUAGCGGCGAGCGAAAGCGCAAGAGGGCAAACCCAGUGCUUGCACUGGGGGUUGUAGGACUGCAAUGUGCAAGAGCUGAGUUUAGCAGAACAUUCUGGAAAGUAUAGCCAUAGAGGGUGAUAGUCCCGUAUGCGAAAAACAAAGCUUAGCUAGCAGUAUCCUGAGUAGGGCGGGACACGAGGAAUCCUGUCUGAAUCCGGGUCGACCACGAUCCAACCCUAAAUACUAAUACCAGAUCGAUAGUGCACAAGUACCGUGAGGGAAAGGUGAAAAGAACUGAGGUGAUCAGAGUGAAAUAGAACCUGAAACCAUUUGCUUACAAUCAUUCAGAGCACUAUGUAGCAAUACAGUGUGAUGGACUGCCUUUUGCAUAAUGAGCCUGCGAGUUGUGGUGUCUGGCAAGGUUAAGCAAACGCGAAGCCGUAGCGAAAGCGAGUCUGAAUAGGGCGCUUAGUCAGAUGCUGCAGACCCGAAACGAAGUGAUCUAUCCAUGAGCAAGUUGAAGCUAGUGUAAGAACUAGUGGAGGACUGAACCCAUAGGCGUUGAAAAGCCCCGGGAUGACUUGUGGAUAGGGGUGAAAGGCCAAUCAAACUUCGUGAUAGCUGGUUCUCUCCGAAAUAUAUUUAGGUAUAGCGUUGUGUCGUAAUAUAAGGGGGUAGAGCACUGAAUGGGCUAGGGCAUACACCAAUGUACCAAACCCUAUCAAACUCCGAAUACCUUAUAUGUAAUCACAGCAGUCAGGCGGCGAGUGAUAAAAUCCGUCGUCAAGAGGGAAACAACCCAGACUACCAGCUAAGGUCCCUAAAUCUUACUUAAGUGGAAAACGAUGUGAAGUUACUUAAACAACCAGGAGGUUGGCUUAGAAGCAGCCAUCCUUUAAAGAAAGCGUAAUAGCUCACUGGUCUAGUGAUUUUGCGCGGAAAAUAUAACGGGGCUAAAGU